This is a non-coding RNA of Tachyglossus aculeatus (Australian echidna), 453 nucleotides long. NCBI's taxonomy places the organism in Eukaryota, Metazoa, Chordata, Mammalia, Monotremata, Tachyglossidae. The record is from the annotation of a RefSeq genome assembly.
AUGGUCUCCAGGGCUCAGUUCUUCUGUCUUCUGCUUCUCUGGGCCCAAGAAUCCAUGGGGGCCACAGAGGUGACUCAGUCUGCAGAAUUCGUGAUGGAGUCUCCAGGAGGUAGCGUCACCAUCAACUGCAAACUCAGUUCCAGUAGUUCUGGUAGUUAUGUUGCCUGGUACCAGCAGAAAACAGGGCAAGCUCCAAAGCUCCUAAUCUACAAAGCUUCCACCCGCCCCACUGGGGUCCCUGACCGGUUCAGCGGCCGUGGGUCCGGGACUGAGUACACUUUCACCAUCAGCAAGGUGGAAGUUGAUGAUGCUGCAAACUAUUACUGUCAGUACCAUGGUGGUACACCUCCCACAAUGCUACGGGGGCCAUUGACAGCACUCCCUGAUAACAGAUCAGAAAAUUCACCUGACGUAAUUCACUUUGUGUCGGGCAUGAAACAUAACUGCCACUGA